GGUGAAGUCUUCCUUUUUGUUCGGGCCAGUGUGAGGUUCUCCUCCCGUUCCCGGCUUGGCUGUGGGGGUGCGUUAGGGCGCUGUAAGGCCUCUCCCCCCAUCCGGUCUAAAAGAACCGGGCCUUCGACUUUGCUCAUGUCAGGAUGAGGUUCUCCUCCUGUUCCUGACAUGGCUGUGGGGGCACAUUAAGGCGUUGUAAGGCCUCUCCCCCCAUCCGGUCUAAAAGAACUGGGCCUUUGACUUUGCUCAUGUCAGGAUGAGAUUCUCCUCCUGUUCCUGACAUGGC
Molecule: long non-coding RNA, 286 nt
Filed under: Elaeis guineensis (African oil palm)
Lineage: Eukaryota; Viridiplantae; Streptophyta; Magnoliopsida; Arecales; Arecaceae
Description: long non-coding RNA (EGUI_LNC081002)
Source: RNAcentral